RNAcentral lists this long non-coding RNA (1149 nucleotides) under Homo sapiens (human). RNAcentral describes it as "non-protein coding lnc-RPS7-2:1". Lineage: Eukaryota; Metazoa; Chordata; Mammalia; Primates; Hominidae. The record is from RNAcentral.
GUCCCCUCGUGGACCAGGCUCUGACCUUGGGCUCUGUCCUGGGCUGGCUCCGUUUGAGCAAAUCCUGCUGAGCCUGCUUGGGGAAACCCACCCUGACUCCUGACGUUUCCACUUAGGAAUUUCUGUCCACAGGCCCCACCCCUGCUCCGGGGCUGUCAGCUCCCACCCAUCCCUGUACUCGGAUUUGAGCCCCAUCUCUCUCCUUUUCUGCAAAACCUCACUGGAGUGGGCCCUUGAAUAAUGCCUCUUCACACCCUUAACAAGAAUUUCCUUUUUUUCUUUACCAAGCAUCCCAACCUACCAUUUCAGCCUGCUCAGGCUGCUGGGACAAAAUACCACAGGCUCGGGGGCUUGAAACAACAGAAAUCUAUUUUCUCCCAGUUCUGGAGGCUGCAAGUCUCAGGUCAAGGUUCCCGCUGGUUCCGUUUCUGCAGAGGCUCCUUCCUGGCUCCACAGCACCGAUGCCCUUUACCUGCCCUCUUUGAAGGCAGACCUUUCGAAUAUUUUUUAUCAAAUAUUUAUUAACAGGUAUUACAACAUGAUUCAAAGAUCAAGGUAACAUAUAAAAAGGCUAGGCACAGUGGCUCAUGGCUCUAACCCCAGCGUGUUGGGAGGCCGAGGCUGGAGAAUUGCUUGAGCCCAGAAGUUGAAGACCCGCCUGGACAACGUAGUGAGACCCCAGCUCUAACAAAAAUAAAAAUUAGCUGGGAAUGGUGGCACACACUUGUAGUCCAAAUCCUAGGUUAAAGACCCUUGUUUACUGUUGAGGUACUGCUUUUAAUAUACACGAAUCUGUGCAUAUUUAGGUUUAGAGAACAGCUCUGUCAGCUGCGGGCAGAGACAGCGGUCCACUUGCCCUGUUUCCCACUUCAUUCAUAUUUGUCUUUGUCCAAAACCCUACCACCAUAUACUGGCGGCUUCCCGUAUCACCAAAGAAUCUUAAUUUGGGGGCGUAUUUUGAUGAAAGUUGUUCUUUGACAAAUACUUAUGUCAACACAAUAUCAGAGUCACCUUGUGCCAAUUCCUGUCUCUCAAUGGGCAAUUAAGAACCAAAGCUGCUUGAACGAGCUGGCCAGCAUAGUCAACGCCUUCUGUGUGCCAGGAGACACAAUGCAGGCAGAUGCAGCCGGCCCUCCCCAUGUUACCCCU